AUCAUCGGGGUGCCACGUCCAAGUGCAUAUCCUGACUGCACAGACACAGGGUUCUGCAUUUCUAGCAAGUUCCCAGGACAU
This 81-nucleotide microRNA precursor is filed under the name Erinaceus europaeus (western European hedgehog). Its description in RNAcentral is "miRNA (ENSEEUG00000022945.1)". The record is from RNAcentral. Lineage: Eukaryota; Metazoa; Chordata; Mammalia; Eulipotyphla; Erinaceidae.